AGGCAGCAGUGAGGAAUAUUGGUCAAUGGAGGGAACUCUGAACCAGCCAUACCGCGUGCAGGAAGAAUGCCCUAUGGGUUGUAAACUGCUUUAUUUGGGAAGAACCCUGAUUACGUGUAAUCAGCUGACGGUACCAAACGAAUAAGGACCGGCUAACUCCGUGCCAGCAGCCGCGGUAAUACGGAGGGGUCCAAGCGUUAUCCGGAAUUAUUGGGUUUAAAGGGUCCGCAGGCGGAAUUAUAAGUCAGUGGUGAAAUCUCGAUGCUCAACAUCGAAACUGCCAUUGAUACUGUAGUUCUUGAAUAUAGUCGGAGUAGGCGGAAUGUGUAGUGUAGCGGUGAAAUGCUUAGAUAUUACACAGAACACCGAUAGCGAAGGCAGCUUACUAGGUUAUAAUUGACGCUCAUGGACGAAAGCGUGGGUAGCGAACAGGAUUAGAUACCCUGGUAG
RNAcentral lists this ribosomal RNA (450 nucleotides) under uncultured bacterium. RNAcentral's name for it is "bacterial SSU rRNA". It matches the Rfam family "Bacterial small subunit ribosomal RNA", at positions 346 to 793 of the family's 1533-position model. The record is from RNAcentral.